UAUAUAAUGGUGUAUAGUGCAUAUAAAAUUUUGAUUUUUAAGGAAAAAGUGUAAUUCUUUUUUAUAUAA
Molecule: transfer RNA, 69 nt
Filed under: Remiarctus bertholdii
Lineage: Eukaryota; Metazoa; Arthropoda; Malacostraca; Decapoda; Scyllaridae
Description: tRNA-Gln
Source: RNAcentral